This 253-nucleotide ribosomal RNA is filed under the name uncultured bacterium. Its description in RNAcentral is "partial 16S ribosomal RNA". It matches the Rfam family "Bacterial small subunit ribosomal RNA", at positions 524 to 776 of the family's 1533-position model. The record is from RNAcentral.
UACAGAGGGUGCGAGCGUUAAUCGGAGUUACUGGGCGUAAAGGGCGCGUAGGCGGUUUUAAAAGAUUGAUGUGAAAGCCCUGGGCUUAACCUAGGAAGAGCAUCAGUGACUGUAGAACUGGAGUAUAUGAGAGGGUGGCGGAAUUUCCGGUGUAGCGGUGAAAUGCGUAGAGAUCGGAAGGAACGUCGAUGGCGAAGGCAGCCACCUGGCAUAAUACUGACGCUGAGGCGCGAAAGCGUGGGUAGCGAACAGG